GACGAACGCUGGCGGCGUGCUUAACACAUGCAAGUCGAACGGAAAGGCCCUGCUUUUGUGGGGUGCUCGAGUGGCGAACGGGUGAGUAACACGUGAGUAACCUGCCCUUGACUUUGGGAUAACUUCAGGAAACUGGGGCUAAUACCGGAGAGGAGCUCCUGCUGCAUGGUGGGGGUUGGAAAGUUUCGGCGGUUGGGGAUAGACUCGCGGGUUAUCAGCUGGUUGGUGGGGUAGUGGCUUACCACGGCUUUGACGGGUAGCCGGCCUGGGAGGGUGGCCGGCGACCUUGGGACUGAGAUACGGCGCAGACUCCUACGGGAGGCAGCGGUGGGGAAUAUUGCACAAUGGGCGGAAGCCUGAUGCAGCAGCGCCGCGUGCGGGAUGACGGCCUUCGAGUUGUAAACCGCUUUCGCCUGUGACGAAGCGUGAGUGACGGUAAUGGGUAAAGAAGCACCGGCUAACUACGUG
This 468-nucleotide ribosomal RNA is filed under the name uncultured bacterium. Its description in RNAcentral is "partial 16S ribosomal RNA". It matches the Rfam family "Bacterial small subunit ribosomal RNA", at positions 28 to 507 of the family's 1533-position model. The record is from RNAcentral.